GAAGGCCUCUGGGCUGUAAACCUCUUUUAUCAAGGAAGAAGAUCUGACGGUACUUGAUGAAUAAGCCACGGCUAAUUCCGUGCCAGCAGCCGCGGUAAUACGGGAGUGGCAAGCGUUAUCCGGAAUUAUUGGGCGUAAAGCGUCCGCAGGCGGCCCUUCAAGUCUGCUGUUAAAAAGUGGAGCUUAACUCCAUCAUGGCAGUGGAAACUGUUGGGCUUGAGUGUGGUAGGGGCAGAGGGAAUUCCCGGUGUAGCGGUGAAAUGCGUAGAUAUCGGGAAGAACACCAGUGGCGAAGGCGCUCUGCUGGGCCAUCACUGACGCUCAUGGACGAAAGCCAGGGGAGCGAAAGGGAUUAGAUACCCCUGUAGUCCUGGCCGUAAACGAUGAACACUAGGUGUCGGGGGAAUCGACCCCCUCGGUGUCGUAGCCAACGCGUUAAGUGUUCCGCCUGGGGAGUACGCACGCAAGUGUGAAACUCAAAGGAAUUGACGGA
Molecule: ribosomal RNA, 493 nt
Filed under: uncultured Synechococcus sp.
Lineage: Bacteria; Bacillati; Cyanobacteriota; Cyanophyceae; Synechococcales; Synechococcaceae
Description: bacterial SSU rRNA
Rfam family: Bacterial small subunit ribosomal RNA
Source: RNAcentral